UACGUAGGUGGCAAGCGUUGUCCGGAAUCAUUGGGCGUAAAGCGCGUGUAGGCGGUUCAGUAAGUCUGCUGUGAAAGUCCAGGGCUCAACCCUGGGAUGCCGGUGGAUACUGCUGGGCUAGAGUACGGAAGAGGCGAGUGGAAUUCCCGGUGUAGCGGUGAAAUGCGCAGAUAUCGGGAGGAACACCAAUUGCGAAGGCAGCUCGCUGGGACGUCACUGACGCUGAGACGCGAAAGCGUGGGGAGCAAACAGG
This 253-nucleotide ribosomal RNA is filed under the name uncultured bacterium. RNAcentral's name for it is "partial 16S ribosomal RNA". It matches the Rfam family "Bacterial small subunit ribosomal RNA", at positions 524 to 776 of the family's 1533-position model. The record is from RNAcentral.